UGGAAGCAGAACACCACUUUGAAAUAUGUAAAACCAGGGCAGCUUCCCAGGAUGUACAGCUCCUGCUAAACAAUAUUUCUAGAUGCCAGCACACUCAGCCAGCCUAAUUGUGCCAACAUAAUACAACGUGUCAUUUUUGCAUUAUAUUUUCACAUACAGAAUAGAGAGGCAAAUAGAUUCCUGAAUAUUUUUGAUGA
Molecule: long non-coding RNA, 197 nt
Organism: Octodon degus (degu)
Lineage: Eukaryota; Metazoa; Chordata; Mammalia; Rodentia; Octodontidae
Exons: 4
Source: RefSeq, a predicted model, not a curated record